This 904-nucleotide long non-coding RNA is filed under the name Sus scrofa (pig). RNAcentral describes it as "lncRNA (ENSSSCG00065027255.1)". The record is from RNAcentral. Lineage: Eukaryota; Metazoa; Chordata; Mammalia; Artiodactyla; Suidae.
GGGGACUGGAGGGGUCUGGGCGAAGGGGGUCACGGCCUGGGGGACGCAGCGGGCAGUCCUCGGAGUCCAGGACUGCCGGCACCUGCUGAGCGCGGCUUGAAGACCCCUGACGGGACCUAAGGUGGCCUCUUGCUCACCUUGGAGAAUAACAAUCUCUGAUGUCUGGCAAUAACAGAAAUGCUUCCAGUGGUCUUCUUUCGUCCAUCCUGACAAUGACCAGGGAAGGUCACCAGCACCUCUGGUGGGCGAGAGAUGUGAUCACUUAUUCCGUGUCCCAACCAGGGACCCGUAAGGUAAGACACAGCAAGAUACUCCUUGGAUGUGCUAAGAAAGUGAUCUUCCAUGCCCACUGCCCGCACCUUCAGCCCAGAGCAGAGUUCUUGGGUCCUUGCCCUUGAGUUCUUGCCCUUGAGACUAGCUCAGAUCUCUCCUUUGCUUUCUUUCUUUUUGUUUUUGAAGGAAUUUAGUCCCUGAUCUCCUCACCGGUUAUCACUUUCCAUUUAACAACAAGCCUUUAUUUAACACCAACUGUGUGCCCCGCACUGUGUUCACUCCCGGAGACUGUCCUUGGGCUGCUCACAGCCUGGCAAGGAACAGACUCUAAACACAUCUGGGAGAGUGGCUGCCACCAGUCAGCCUAUGGUGCCAGGUGUUCAUGCUUCCUCUUGCUCAGAACUACUUCUUUGAGCUGGAGUUCCUGUUGUGGCUCAGUGGGUUAAGAACCUGACCAGUAUCCAUGAGGUUGCGGGUUUGAUCCCUGGCCUCGUUCAGUGGGUUAAGGAGCCGGUGUUGCUGUGGCUGUGGUGUAGGAUGGCAGCUGCAGCUCUGAUUCAACUCCCUACCCUGGAAACAUCCAGAUGCCUCAGGUAUGGCCCUAAAAAAUAAUAAUAAUAAUAACUCUUUG